GGCAAGAUGGCCGAGUGGUUAAGGCGGAGCACGUGAGUUGCUCUGGUGCAAACCUCCAGGGUUCGACUCCCUGUCUUGCCA
This 81-nucleotide transfer RNA is filed under the name Endocarpon pusillum Z07020. Its description in RNAcentral is "tRNA-Ser (TGA) (tRNA-Ser-TGA-2-1)". It matches the Rfam family "tRNA". From Rfam's summary of the family: Transfer RNA (tRNA) molecules are approximately 80 nucleotides in length. Their secondary structure includes four short double-helical elements and three loops (D, anti-codon, and T loops). Further hydrogen bonds mediate the characteristic L-shaped molecular structure. tRNAs have two regions of fundamental functional importance: the anti-codon, which is responsible for specific mRNA codon recognition, and the 3' end, to which the tRNAs corresponding amino acid is attached (by aminoacyl-tRNA synthetases). tRNAs cope with the degeneracy of the genetic code in two manners: having more than one tRNA (with a specific anti-codon) for a particular amino acid; and 'wobble' base-pairing, i.e. permitting non-standard base-pairing at the 3rd anti-codon position. Lineage: Eukaryota; Fungi; Ascomycota; Eurotiomycetes; Verrucariales; Verrucariaceae. The record is from RNAcentral.